Lates calcarifer (barramundi perch) is the source of this 443-nucleotide long non-coding RNA. RefSeq lists it as uncharacterized. The transcript has 4 exons. Lineage: Eukaryota; Metazoa; Chordata; Actinopteri; Centropomidae. The record is from RefSeq and is a predicted model, not a curated record.
AUGAUGUUGUGUCUCUGUUUACAUGGUGUGUUGUCCCUGGCCGUGACCUUUGUCGUCAUAUGCUGCGACCGCAGAGCAGAGCAGAGCCGCGGAGACGUCGUUGUUUUGGUUUGUUAGCACUGAGAGAAGGUUAAUUACUGAAGAAGUCUGGAGGCUAAACCGAGCUUUAGAGCUGUUUUGUCGAACACAGGUGUCACCACUUCAUCCAUGACUCCAGAGACCAGAUCAGACCAGAUGAGACCAGGACAGAGAGUCUUCCAGGUGAACUCACAGAAACAGCUGGAUCCAGUGGAGCUGAAGGAGGAGGAGGUGACGGCAGCAGCUGAAGGUCUGGACCUGAAGAGGAUGAAAGAAAAACAGAGUUAUUGAGCUGAUAAUCACAGACUGAUGCAAGUAAAGCUGUUUGGUUUUAUUCACUCAGUUUCUAACAGUGUGAUGUAGUU